RNAcentral lists this ribosomal RNA (433 nucleotides) under uncultured bacterium. RNAcentral describes it as "partial 16S ribosomal RNA". It matches the Rfam family "Bacterial small subunit ribosomal RNA", at positions 29 to 507 of the family's 1533-position model. The record is from RNAcentral.
AACGAACGCUGGCGGCAGGCCUAACACAUGCAAGUCGAGCGCGCCCUUCGGGGUGAGCGGCGGACGGGUGAGUAACGCGUGGGAACGUGCCCUUCUCUGCGGAAUAGCCUCAGGAAACUGAGAGUAAUACCGCAUACGCCCUUUGGGGGAAAGAUUUAUCGGAGAAGGAUCGGCCCGCGUUGGAUUAGGUAGUUGGUGGGGUAAUGGCCCACCAAGCCGACGAUCCAUAGCUGGUUUGAGAGGAUGAUCAGCCACACUGGGACUGAGACACGGCCCAGACUCCUACGGGAGGCAGCAGUGGGGAAUCUUAGACAAUGGGGGCAACCCUGAUCUAGCCAUGCCGCGUGAGUGAUGAAGGCCUUAGGGUUGUAAAGCUCUUUCAGCUGGGAAGAUAAUGACGGUACCAGCAGAAGAAGCCCCGGCUAACUCCGUG